This 301-nucleotide ribosomal RNA is filed under the name uncultured bacterium. RNAcentral describes it as "partial 16S ribosomal RNA". It matches the Rfam family "Bacterial small subunit ribosomal RNA", at positions 509 to 807 of the family's 1533-position model. The record is from RNAcentral.
CAGUCGCCGCGGGAAUACGAAGGGGGCUAGCGUUGCUCGGAAUGACUGGGCGUAAAGGGCGCGUAGGCGGCGAUCAAAGUCAGGCGUGAAAUUCCUGGGCUCAACCUGGGGGCUGCGCUUGAUACUUGGUUGCUUGAGUGGGGGAGAGGGUCGUGGAAUUCCCAGUGUAGAGGUGAAAUUCGUAGAUAUUGGGAAGAACACCGGUGGCGAAGGCGGCGACCUGGUCCUUGACUGACGCUGAGGCGCGAAAGCGUGGGGAGCAAACAGGAUUAGAUACCCCAGUAGUCCCUGUCUCUUAUAC